This 344-nucleotide transfer-messenger RNA is filed under the name Roseburia sp. It matches the Rfam family "transfer-messenger RNA". Rfam says of the family: Bacterial tmRNA, also known as 10Sa RNA or SsrA, is named for its dual tRNA and mRNA-like properties. Its role is to liberate the mRNA from a stalled ribosome. Lineage: Bacteria; Bacillati; Bacillota; Clostridia; Lachnospirales; Lachnospiraceae. The record is from RNAcentral.
GGGCUAGUAAAGGUUUCGACAGGGAUUAUGAAGCUGGAGAAGCGAGCCGCAGGGUGAUGCGUUAAAUUCCAAACUUAAAAUUAAACGCUAACGAUAAUAAAUUAGCUUACGCUGCCUAAUGGCAGCAGUCUGACCUAGAGCACUCACACUUUAGGACCCAGGCUUCGACUAUGUGAGAAACGACACAUGCAAAGCUUUGCGCAUGUGGGCGUAUCAUGAAGCUACUGAAACCGGGAGGAUGUUUGUUUUCGACCGGCAGAGGGAAUGUUAAAUAACAAACUACACUCGUAGAAGGACAGGGGAUUGUGCUUCGGACACGGGUUCGACUCCCGUCUAGUCCACUA